Molecule: long non-coding RNA, 1123 nt
Organism: Chelonia mydas (Green sea turtle)
Lineage: Eukaryota; Metazoa; Chordata; Testudines; Cheloniidae
Exons: 3
Source: RefSeq, a predicted model, not a curated record
AGAAUCUAGAGCCACAGGAACAGGGAAACCUCAGAAAGAGGCUGCUUUCUCUUAACUGUCUGUGCUAGAAAAUCUAAAGUCUGAAGGAAGAUUUGUUAGAAGAAACUAGCUUAAGAAAUGCUCCUGGAAAUGAUUUCCAUUUUCUACUGGAAAAUGAACAACUUGAAAGAAGUACCCCAACGUUUCACAUAUUCUUUGAAGUUUUGGUGUGAAAUUGGCAAAAGCUGAUAAAAUGGCACAGAAGGUGCCAGGAUGUUGAGCAACAGUAAAUUUUCUCCUUUCCAUUUUCAAAAGCAUUAUUUUCCACUAAGACUAAAUGUUAUUAAAAAACAUUUCUACAGAUAAAUUUUGGUAUGAUUAAUUUGGAGUAAAUAGUGGAUUAAGGCCCUGGACCUGCAAUGAGUUUCAUAUCGGCAGACAUCUGCAUCUAGGCAGAACCUACCCACAGAGAGUUCACUAAGGGAUCACUUUAGAUUUUCUUGGUCAUUUUCCUGGGUGAUAAAGUGAAAAUGCUUACCUUGAAUUGUCUCUUGACUUUGUCUCGGUCAUGUUCAAAUGUAGCAGCUCUCUCCAUGGCUUGAUAUUUGGCUUCUAAAGCACUUUCUUUCUCUCUAAGUAUUUUCUGGUAAGUUUUCUGAAGAGCCUGAAAAUAUUUAAUAUAUGAUUUCUCUGAAAGAAAAUUAUUAUUGCUAUAAAGUUUUAGCAUAUUUUUCAGCUACUGAGUUUGAUAGCAAAUUCAAUAGUUUUGCUGCAAUAGCCCUUUUACAACUCUUAAUUCAAUGAAGAAGUUUUUGUUUGGUUUUUUUUGUUUAGAUUUAAACAUUGCAUUGCAGCGUUGGAACACAAAUCAGUGCAAUCUUAUCAUGAAUGACAAACAAAAUAUUUAACAUUUUUAUUAAAGCUAAUGUUAAAAUUAUAUAAUACACAGGUUGAGAAAAGAGUGUCUGUACAUCUGGGUAUAGUGCUCGGGGGUUCUUGCAACAAAUUUUUGGGUGGCCUCAGAAUGCAGCCACCAACUCUUGCUGGUGGCUGCUCUGACAAUUUUUCCUAAAAUACUUAAUAACUUUAGAAAAAACAGAUAAAUAUGUGCAUAUACAUGUCCAAAUCAUUGUAAUUUAUUUAU